AUACGGUGUGGACAAUAGUAUUGGGCCCGUACUACUGAAAGCAUCGGGGCGGUGUACAACCCAUGUAAGAAUCUUUGGAAUGCCAAGGAUCAAGGAGGAAUGAGUUGUUGAGUGUGAGUAUGCUCGAAUGGAUUCUAAUUUAUCGUAUGUUGUAUUUCAGAGGUAGAUCAUGGUGAGGACACGUCUUAUGCCUGAGAGCAGUGGGGCCAGUGAUGAGGAGAUCCGCCGGAUCAUCCAUGAGGAGGUGGCUGCGGCCAUCAGGGCAGAGAUACCAGAGAUGUUCGGGUCUAUUAAGACCACGUUGAUUGAGACCUUCGACGAGCGUUAUGCCGCUCUUUCUGAGGCUGCUGUUGCAGCGGCCACCGCAGCUAUUGCUGCCGCGAGGCCGCAGGGUGGUGAUGCGUUGCUGUUCCGAGAGUUCAGNCGGCCACUGCAGCUAUUGCUGCCGCGAGGCCGCAGGGUGGUGAUGCGUUGCUGUUCCGAGAGUUCAGCAACACAAAACCGCCGGAGUUUGAUGGGACCCAGGACCCGGUGGCGGCUAUGAGAUGGAUUUCUGACAUAGAGGGGU
This 568-nucleotide long non-coding RNA is filed under the name Lactuca sativa (garden lettuce). Its description in RNAcentral is "long non-coding RNA (LSAT_LNC009024)". Lineage: Eukaryota; Viridiplantae; Streptophyta; Magnoliopsida; Asterales; Asteraceae. The record is from RNAcentral.